RNAcentral lists this ribosomal RNA (156 nucleotides) under bacterium SC133. Its description in RNAcentral is "partial 16S ribosomal RNA". It matches the Rfam family "Bacterial small subunit ribosomal RNA", at positions 337 to 485 of the family's 1533-position model. RNAcentral also lists the same sequence under 3 other names. The record is from RNAcentral.
UCCUACGGGAGGCAGCAGUGGGGAAUAUUGGACAAUGGGCGCAAGCCUGAUCCAGCCAUGCCGCGUGUGUGAAGAAGGCCUUUUGGUUGUAAAGCACUUUAAGCGAGGAGGAGGCUUACCUGGUUAAUACCUGGGAUAAGUGGACGUACUCGCAGA